UUUCAAUGCAUGAAAAUGAUGAUGUCACUAAUUCAUUACUAUUAAAUAUCUGGUAGCACAAUAUUGUUACAUAAUACAACUUAAACACACAAUACAGUUCAUUUCUAAAUAUAAAACAAUAUUGAAAAUACAAUCCUAUAAAAAUACAUAAAAUAAUAUUGAAAAUACAUCUUCGGAGUCUUUAAUUUCUUCCACUGCUUGAAGUUGAUGUGUGUUGAAGUAUCCUAGGACAGCGACGGCGAUCAUGAUCCUGUUCCUUACAAAUAUCAUAGUAAUUCUUACUUCUUAUUUGCCUAUCAUCCAUCUCAUUUCACAGUCUUAUUGACUUUGGUCUGCCUUUAUGCUUGGGUCUCAAACGAUGAUGAUCAGAAAUACAUUUGAACAUACGUGUAUGCAUCCAAUAAUCUUCAUGUAGUAAUGGAUUAAACUCAUCACUCUAAGCAUUCAUAUAUGCUGUAAUUGUAUAUGCAUCAUCCA
This 477-nucleotide long non-coding RNA is filed under the name Elaeis guineensis (African oil palm). Its description in RNAcentral is "long non-coding RNA (EGUI_LNC076227)". The record is from RNAcentral. Lineage: Eukaryota; Viridiplantae; Streptophyta; Magnoliopsida; Arecales; Arecaceae.